ACAGUGGUAACAGUCUGAUUGUAUGUUUAAGGGAGGAGUGAAUUUCCACAGUGAUAGUCUGAUUGACUAUGUUUAAGGGAGGAGUGUGAAUUUCCACAGAUAACAGUCUGAUUGACUGUACCUUUUAAGGAGCUGCUCACUCUCUUUCUAAAGAGGUGUGUUUAGGGUCAUAAUAUUUCACCUUGCUUUACAGAGGAGUGUCACAUAAGCCUGUCAUAUAGGUCAACAGUCUCUCUCUUCUUUGUGUCGCUCUCCCUCCCUCUCUCUCCUUUUUUAUUCUCUCCCUCCCUCUCUCUUUUAGUGAUUGUUAUGAGUAAAUGAUUAUUGAUUGCUAUGAGGAAAUGAUUCUUAACUAAAUUCCAAAGUCCAAAUGUCCUGACUGAACUUUGUGGAAAGAGGAAUCAAUGAGUGGCAGGUUGUUUUUUCCCCACAUGAGUUUUCGCCUCAUGUCCCAGGACUUACAACUCCGUUUGCAGGUUUGUGAUUCAGAUGGUCAUUGUGGAUGGAGACACGUUUGUAGAUACUAGUUCAGUAAGAAAUCCGACACAGAGAUAAAGAGCAGCCAUUUUGCAGAGGAAAAGCUUGUGUUGGAGCAUACAGUAACAUGGCCUCCAAAUCGCUGUUAGAAAUUUAUCUGUCUUGUCCUGUGUGUUGUGAAGUCUUUAAAGACCCCAUGGUGCUUGCGUGCAAUCACAGUGUGUGUAAAGCAUGUCUGCAGACACUCUGGGACAUCGGAGGGUCCAGAGAAUGCCCCGUGUGCAGGACAAAGUCCUCUGACGAUUUCCCUCCAGUAAAUCUUACGUUGAAGAAUCUCUGUGAGUUUACCAUGUGGAGGAAAUGAGAGAGCAUCAGAUCCAGCAUUAAGAGAUUCUGCACGGUGAGAAGCUCAAGCUCUUCUGUCUGGACACUCAUCAGCCCGUGUGUGUGGUGUGUCGAGACGCCAGGACACAUAGGAACCACACCUUCAGUCCCAUAGACGAAGCAGCAGGAGAGCAUAGGGGGGAACUACGGAUCAAACUGCAGACCUUACAGGAGAGACUGCAGGCUUUUGAAGAAGUUAAAAUAUUCUAUGACCAAAUAGUAACUCACAUUAAGACUCAGGUCCAACACACAGAGAAGCAGAUCAAGGAGGAGUUUGAGAAGCUUCACCAGUUUCUACGAGAUGAAGAGGCAGCCAGGAUAGCUGCACUGAGGGUGGAAGAGGAGCAGAAGAGUCAUAAGAUGAAGAAAAAGAUUGUGAGGAUGAUGAAAGAAAUUUCAUCUAAUUCAGAUGCAAUUAGAACUAUAGAAGAGAAGUUGGGAGCUGAUGAUAUCACAUUCUUGCAGAACUACAAGAGCACAGUGGAAAGAGCCCAGUGCACACUGCAGGAUCCAGAGAGGGUUUCAGGAGCUCUGAUCAAUGUGGCAAAGCACUUGGGCACUUGGGCAACCUGAAGUUCAGAGUCUGGG
Molecule: long non-coding RNA, 1449 nt
Organism: Alosa sapidissima (American shad)
Lineage: Eukaryota; Metazoa; Chordata; Actinopteri; Clupeiformes; Clupeidae
Exons: 5
Source: RefSeq, a predicted model, not a curated record